AUGUCGAGAGCUGGUCGCGGGAGGGGCGCCCGCCAUGACGAUGAGACGGGGAGCUCCUCCCUCCGCCCCUCGGUGGAGGAGUGGUGCAAAGUGCAGGCGCGGGAGUGCGGCGCGCUCACUCGUAGCGGUGGCCGGCGGGCAUGGCGCAACUUUAACCGCCUCCAUGAGAUUUUCUGGCCGACGACCAAGCAUGUUCAAGCGGCGGAGCACGCAUUCUUCGCAAGAAAGGAGGCGUCCGCCGCCAGAGAAAAAGGUGCCGUGGCACGGCCAGAUGCGGCGAGGAAGGAGUACGACCUCGCCUUCGUCCUCGCUAACUCCUUGAUGGAGUACCAUCUUGGCGUCAAGAAGGACGGUGAUGAUGAUGAGUAUAUUUAG
This 375-nucleotide ribosomal RNA is filed under the name Triticum aestivum (bread wheat). Its description in RNAcentral is "partial small subunit ribosomal RNA". Lineage: Eukaryota; Viridiplantae; Streptophyta; Magnoliopsida; Poales; Poaceae. The record is from RNAcentral.